Paramisgurnus dabryanus is the source of this 694-nucleotide non-coding RNA. The record is from RefSeq and is a predicted model, not a curated record. NCBI's taxonomy places the organism in Eukaryota, Metazoa, Chordata, Actinopteri, Cypriniformes, Cobitidae.
GUGAACAACAUCAGAGUGCGGCAGUCAGAGAUCCUAAAGAAGGACUCCAUAUGUUUAGUCGAGACAGUACGCUGUACAUCUCUUACGACGAGGAUAUUUGUUUCAGGACCGCUUUCCCGAUACUGACAAGGACAUUUAAGCAAUUAUGUGAGCUGCAGUCUGGAUCCUGCUUCAGUCAGAUGACCUAACACAAAUGGAAAGAUGACAUCGACCCUUGCAAGGACUUCAGACGAUGCCAGCACUGGACUACAUACAGUGGUAAUCAUGGGUGCCCAAACUUGUGCAUGUCCCUGUACUGAUAUAUACUAUACAAAUAAUAUUUUCAGUAGUCCGUGUCAAAUUUUAUUUCAAGGUAAGAUAGCUUUACAUGUUUUUUAUUGUGCUUUAGUGAUCACACAGGCCCUGUUUAUGUUCUUAACCGGCAUGAGUUUAUUUAUUGUGAUAUACACAAAACAAGAUAUUUUGAUAAAUGAUGUUAAGUACACAGCUGCUCAUUUACUUCAAUAAAAUGUAUUUUUCAUAUUAUGGAAAUCAAUGGGUACCAUCAACUGUAUGAUUGACAUCAUUUAUCAGAUUAAAGAAUUUUUGGCAAGUUUAUAACAACAUGAAGGUGAGUAAAUUAUACAAUUAUAAUUUUUACGUAAACUUUUAGCUUUGAAGGAUUAUUUACUCAACCCCAUGUCAUCCAAGAUGU